AGUGAACGCUGGCGGUAGGCCUAACACAUGCAAGUCGAACGGCAGCACAGUAAGAGCUUGCUCUUACGGGUGGCGAGUGGCGGACGGGUGAGGAAUACAUCGGAAUCUACUUUUUCGCGGGGGAUAACGUAGGGAAACUUACGCUAAUACCGCAUACGACCUACGGGUGAAAGCAGGGGAUCUUCGGACCUUGCGCGAUUGAGUGAGCCGAUGUCGGAUUAGCUAGUUGGCGGGGUAAAGGCCCACCAAGGCGACGAUCCGUAGCUGGUCUGAGAGGAUGAUCAGCCACACUGGAACUGAGACACGGUCCAGACUCCUACGGGAGGCAGCAGUGGGGAAUAUUGGACAAUGGGCGCAAGCCUGAUCCAGCCAUACCGCGUGGGUGAAGAAGGCCUUCGGGUUGUAAAGCCCUUUUGUUGGGAAAGAAAAGCAGCAGGUUAAUACCCCGCUGUUCUGACGGUACCCAAAGAAUAAGCACCGGCUAACUUCGUG
RNAcentral lists this ribosomal RNA (492 nucleotides) under uncultured bacterium. RNAcentral describes it as "partial 16S ribosomal RNA". It matches the Rfam family "Bacterial small subunit ribosomal RNA", at positions 29 to 507 of the family's 1533-position model. The record is from RNAcentral.